This 487-nucleotide ribosomal RNA is filed under the name uncultured bacterium. Its description in RNAcentral is "bacterial SSU rRNA". It matches the Rfam family "Bacterial small subunit ribosomal RNA", at positions 19 to 518 of the family's 1533-position model. The record is from RNAcentral.
AUGGCUCAGAACGAACGCUGGUGGCGUGUCUUAUACAUGCAAGUCGAGCGAGGCAGCGAUGCCGAGCGGCGAACGGGUGAGUAACGCGUAAGCAAUCUGCCCCAUAUCAGGAAAUACCCGUGCCAACGCGCGGUUAAUGUCCAGGAGAGUGGUCUUCCGCAUGGAGGGUUGACUAGAGAUUUAUCGGUAUGGGAUGAGCUUGCGUCCGAUUAGCUAGUUGGCGGGGCAACGGCCCACCAAGGCGACGAUCGGUAGCCGGCCUGAGAGGGUGAUCGGCCACAUUGGGACUGAGAUACGGCCCAGACUCCUACGGGAGGCAGCAGUAGGGAAUAUUGCACAAUGGGGGAAACCCUGAUGCGGCAACGCCACGUGUGGGAAGAAGCAUUUCGGUGUGUAAACCACUGUCAUGAGGGAAUAAGGCCCUUAUCCGUAAGGGAUUGAAUGUACCUUGAGAGGAAGCACCGGCAAACUUCGUGCCAGCCGCGGC